GUGUCCACUCAUACCACCCUGAAUGUACCCAAUCUCAUCUGACUUCAGAAGUUAAGUGGCAUCAGGCCUGGUUAGUACUUGGAUGGAAGAAAAACACCUAGCACCUUACACAGAAAGUGCCUGGACAUC
RNAcentral lists this ribosomal RNA (129 nucleotides) under Octodon degus (degu). The record is from RNAcentral. Lineage: Eukaryota; Metazoa; Chordata; Mammalia; Rodentia; Octodontidae.